This 252-nucleotide ribosomal RNA is filed under the name uncultured bacterium. RNAcentral describes it as "partial 16S ribosomal RNA". It matches the Rfam family "Bacterial small subunit ribosomal RNA", at positions 524 to 776 of the family's 1533-position model. The record is from RNAcentral.
UACGUAGGGUGCAAGCGUUAAUCGGAAUUACUGGGCGUAAAGCGUGCGCAGGCGGUGAUGCAAGACAGAGGUGAAAUCCCCGGGCUCAACCUGGGAACUGCCUUUGUGACUGCAUGACUAGAGUACGGUAGAGGGGAUGGAAUUCCGCGUGUAGCAGUGAAAUGCGUAGAUAUGCGGAGGAACACCGAUGGCGAAGGCAAUCCCCUGGACCUGUACUGACGCUCAUGCACGAAAGCGUGGGGAGCAAACAGG